RNAcentral lists this ribosomal RNA (309 nucleotides) under Staphylococcus aureus. RNAcentral describes it as "partial 23S ribosomal RNA". It matches the Rfam family "Bacterial large subunit ribosomal RNA", at positions 963 to 1276 of the family's 2925-position model. The record is from RNAcentral. Lineage: Bacteria; Bacillati; Bacillota; Bacilli; Caryophanales; Staphylococcaceae.
CCAAUUAAUUUAACUUGGGAGUCAGAACAUGGGUGAUAAGGUCCGUGUUCGAAAGGGAAACAGCCCAGACCACCAGCUAAGGUCCCAAAAUAUAUGUUAAGUGGAAAAGGAUGUGGCGUUGCCCAGACAACUAGGAUGUUGGCUUAGAAGCAGCUAUCAUUUAAAGAGUGCGUAAUAGCUCACUAGUCGAGUGACACUGCGCCGAAAAUGUACCGGGGCUAAACAUAUUACCGAAGCUGUGGAUUGUCCUUUGGACAAUGGUAGGAGAGCGUUCUAAGGGCGUUGAAGCAUGAUCGUAAGGACAUGUGG